Long non-coding RNA from Cucurbita maxima (winter squash), 5617 nucleotides. RefSeq lists it as uncharacterized. Lineage: Eukaryota; Viridiplantae; Streptophyta; Magnoliopsida; Cucurbitales; Cucurbitaceae. The transcript has 9 exons. The record is from RefSeq and is a predicted model, not a curated record.
AAUUAUUAUUAUUCUUCUUUUCAAUUAACCUUAUCGUAUGGGAAUUCUCCGGAGAUUUACUCUCAGCGGCUGCCGGCGAUGAUGAGAACGUCGGAAUCAAAGCACCAUGCGUCCAUGUCUAUAGAGGUUCAGUCCUACUUAUUUCUCUCAAAUUUGAAACUGAACUUCCUGAUCUCCGAUCCAGGGAGCAUCAUUUUGGGGCGCGAAGUGCAAGGUCUAGUUUGUGGAUGAUCCUUUUGGAAUAAUGGCGGCAGUCUCAGUUAAGCAAUCGACUGCGGACAGUAAUUGUUAGUCAUUACUUCACCUGCUUGUUGUUGUUAAAUUAUCAAGAGUGACAAUGAGUUAUUGCUUCAGCUUUUAAUUCAUUUUGAAUUGUACUUCUCAAAGUAAUUAUAGGCUAAUUUAUGCAUUUGCUUUACCUGUCUUUUUAUCAAGCUCAGGUUCUUAAUGAUUUUACUUGUCGUUCCUCAGAAUUGAGUGCUUGCUCUGUUGUUUCUUUAAAUUAGUCUGUUUGUGUCACAUUUUUCUUCAUAUAGUCAAUUAGUUCUAGGGAUUUCGAUGUCUUUGCUGUGAUGGUGAUGUUAUACCAUCGUUUUAGAAUUUUUGAACUGAUAUGUUUAGAGGUAAGAAAUUGUUCACUUAUUGUUUUAAAUAAAAGAAAGAUACUGUCGUUGAUUGUAUGAAAAAUACUAUUGUAAAAGAAGCCACUGCGAUUGGCAGAAUCAGAAUGGUGUUGUGAUUAGGGGGAGGAUAGCAAAAAGAGCGCAAACAUUUUAUCAUUUUCGUUAAUUUCCACCUGCUAUUUCCUCAAAAGCUUCUUUCUUCCGUCUCCAACCAAACCUUAGUGCUUAAUCACGCAUAACCACAACACCUGUAGUUUCUCCUUGAAAUGAAUGCCAUAAAAGAAGCCAGGGAAUCUGUGCCAUAUACCUUAGUGAACAAAUCUAGGCAUAAUUGAGAACUAAUUGGUGGUGUGAAGUCCCGAAUCUCUAAAACCCCAACAAACUGAAUCUUCUCCAGAGCAAAAGUGGUGGCAGAUAUUCGAUGUGAAGCUUCCAUGGAUUAAAUUUUUGCUGCUUUCUUGAAGUGUUUGUUGCUCCUUAUAGGAUAGACUUCUGAUCUUUGGAUUUUCCCCUCACAUUCAUGUUCGUGAAGCCAGGUAGAUCCCCUCUCUUAAAACAAUUCUAGUUUAGAAAGAACUAAAAUCUAAUUGUUUUGACUAGUCUAUGUAUUCUAGUAAGUCAUAAUGCAAGCAUAUGUAGCCUCAUUUAUCCUAUUUGAAUGAAAGGAUAGACAUGAAAAGCUGGUAAACCUGUCGAGGUAAAAAAAGUUGGUGCUUUGUGUUAAAUGUGGAUUAUGCUGUGUUAAACUCUCAAAAUGGACUCUGAUCAAAGUGUGAACUUCAAACCCAAAAGUUCUUAUUUUCUAUGUUUAGUAACCAGAAGAGAAAUCAUUUAGGCAUUUCUUUUCCUCUAUUUUCUGGAUCAAUGAUGCAUGCCACUGUUUUCUCACCGAUCUAGUAGGUUGCUACUUCUGUGCACAUAGUUUCUCAAGAUUAAUUAUCUAUCUGGAAGUUUCAGUGUUGAUAUAGCACUCAGUUAUCUUAUAGAAAGGGGUAAUACUUAUAUUGCUGCCUUUGGUAAUUGAUACUGACAUUUCUCAUAUCAUAAUUGGACUUUGGUAAUUUAUAAUAUACAAGUUAUAGAAUUGGAACAGCAAUCAACAGUAGAACGAGAGAAGAUGGUAUUUCUUUUUUUGUAAUAAUAAACAGGAAGAAGUCUAUACAGUUUCUUUCUUAUUUAUAGCUACCAUUUAAAUUUAAUUAUAAUUAUAAAACAACGUAUGCAUAUCUAUAAUUGCAUUUAAUCCAAGUCCUAAAUUCUAUUAGAACAAGCCCAAUGUGAUCGCACUAGGUCCAUUGAGUGCUGCUAUGAGAUUGAGGAAAUUUUAUUGAGCUUUCUUAAUGGAAGAAACCAAGGUGACUGUAAAUUCUCAGUUGAUCGUGUCAACUCUCAAAGGAACUUCUGUAAUGAAUUUAUGUUUUCUAUGGGGUUGAGAAAACUGUGGACAUGUUUAUGUGUAUUUGAAAUUUCAGGCUGGUCACUUCAAUUCCUUAGUGUUUUUCGCAUGCUCAAGCAAUUUACAAUACGCCAAACUAUUUACCAUACUUAUGCUGCUAUUGUUAUGUUUUUGGAAUUCACAACUUGAGGAUUGCUAUUGUUAUGAUUUUGGUAUUCACAACUUAAGGAUACAGUUUUACAUCCUAUAAAACAGAUCCUGUUCAAGUAAGGUCAUUAUUAUAUUUUUGGUAUUGUAAAGCGAUGAAAGGACUUUUAAGACAUGUUGGCAAUUUGAGAUUUAUUAUCUUGGAGUAGAAAUGGUAAAGCUGUAGAUGUUGUUUUCUUGAAUUGCUAGUUUGUCUAGAAGAUUAAGGUUCUUCCUUGCAACUGUUUUCUUGUUCCUUCAAGUAUAUUUUAUUCCCUUUUUUAUCCUCUUGCAUCUCAAUUUUUAGUUAUUGGUCAAUAUAUUCGUGUUUUGUUUUAUAUUUUUUAAUAAGACUAUUGAGCAAUUUUAUUUAAUCAAACUUUUUAAAGAGUUGAAAUUGUGUUAUUUCUUUUGAGUUUAUCAAUGCUAUCCUAUCCCUUUCCCCAGAAAACUAGUAGUAAGUCCUUUCAAUGUCAUUAUCAUCUGUCUAAAAGUGUGCUGUCCAUUUCAUUUUCUUUUCAUGUUUUUCAUUUCAUCUGAUGUAAAUCCUAAUCUGUGUGCUUUUUGGACUUCUUGAAAGCUAUUGCAUAGAAAAAUGGAAGAAGUUUCUCCAAACUCCAUUAUCUUGAAUUUCAUAUUAGUUUCCCAUCAGAUCAAGAUUGAUGUUUAUAUUUUUGGUCAUAUCACUUGUAAUUCUCAGUAAGAUAGAGAUAUUUCUCUUGUUCCUGUUUAGUAGUUUGACUUCAAAUUCCCGUUCAACAAGUUUAUAAUAGGCACGUUUGUGCAAAGGAAAUUGCUUGGAAAAUUGCACAUAUUGCUGCUAUGUCUUAUCAAUUGCUCACCUGCAUAUAGUACAUUUGUCCCUUUACAUAAACAUAUUCUUUGGUAGUAAUCAGGUAACAGUGUGACUUUUUUUCUUUUAUCUUUUAUGUACAUAGAAUAGAAUAGCAUUUAAUAUAUAUAUAUAUAUUGAAUUCUUGAUGCAUUUGCACAGACCUAUCAUUUACUUCGGUCUAGUAGAAUUUAGAUUGCAACCUUUCCAACUCUUCUGUCAAGCUAGAUUUUUUCAAGGGCAUGAAAGAAAUGUGAACUUAGAGUCUCAGCUCGAAGUUCGACAUCAGCAUGGAUGCAAAAAGCUUAUCUGCAGUUCAUCAGAUGGUUCAAGUUGACCGCAAGCCUGCAAUGCUUAGCUUCUUUGGACAGCCAAGUCAUAUAAACGAGCUUUAAUAGACCAUCUUUUUGAUCUGGCCUAACAUGAUCCCUCCGUGCAGCAGAAUGGAGAUGUUGCAGGGAUCGAGUAAUACAACUUGAAUUUUAUUGUUCAUCUGUGAUAGUCUUUUCCUAGAGAUAGAAAUAUGAAGUUUAAAUUCUAUCUUUUAACAUUGGUUGCGCAUGGCAUGGAAAUCGGGACAGACAUUCAUCUACAAGAAAUUGUGUAAGUUUAGUUAUUCGCUUUUGCGUUUCUUUUGUUUCUUUGUUUUCUUUUUUCACCUUCAGAUUUUUUUCUAUAUGUAGAAGUGUAUUACUAUUAGGCAGGAGCUUCCCAUGGAAGGUUUCUGGAAGUUUCUUCAUUGCAUUGUUUUCCAUUCUUACUGGUUUUUAUUCUAUAUUGGGCUCCUAUAAGGCCCAUUCCUGAAUAGAGUAGCAAUUAAACUCCUGGUCUUGCUCUUCUGUUCAAUAAUUAUUUCUAAGAAUGACAUAACAUUUUUGGAUGCAAUGUUUUGAAAUCGUUCAGCAUAAUCAUUCUCUCGGCAAUUAUUGUCUUUUGAGGAUUAAAGAAUCUAUUUCUUUUCAAUCUCUCAUUUUCUGUUCUCCUCCGGUUUGGUUUGAGUCACAGAGUAAGAUUGCAUAUUUCUAAUUGUUUACGAGUAAGAAUCUAAUAGUGACAAUAUUUGCUGCCUAUAAUUAUAGUUUCUGUCGCAGGGUGCAAGUGUUGGAACUACAAAGACAUGCAACAGUUAAAAUUGUCAACCAUUCUUCUUAGCAUAGAGUAUCCCUCUCAUUUAUUAGUUGUGAAAUUGAUUUUUACUUCUCUUGAAGAAACUUGGCCAUCUAUAAUCUAAAUUAAAUUUGCAUAUUCAAUUUAUUUUUACCAUUGAGAAUUUUGGGGGUUUUAGGAAUAUUUGGCCUUAUUGUCUUGAAUUGAAUAUCAAUUCUUACUGCCUUAGAUUACUUCAAAUUUUAGUGAAAUUCACCCCAGACCAAGUGCGUGAGACAAUCCAUGCAGGACAGUAGGAAAAUAUAAGUUUCCUGUACAUUUAUCUUCUGCUUUUAUUGAGUUAAUUUAAUUUAGAUGAUGUAGCCUGUGAAAGGAUUCAACAUUGAGAGCCAUCAUCAGUUUUUUGACAAACUAGUAGUGGUUGGCGCACACAUUUAGAGUUCUUGUCUAGGUACUUCUAAUCCUUACCUUCCAUCAGAUGAACGCGGAUGAACGGCUCACUUCACCGAAGAAAGAGCUGUGUGGGGGCAUUUUCAAGUUGUGCUAAGAUGCAUUUGAAAUGGGGCCAACAUUCUCUCUCAUACCCCAUGUCUCUUCGCACCACCUCACCAACCGGGCACAGUUUCAAAUAUCUAUUGGUCAAACACAGUGCGAUGGAAAGGAAAAACAUCCUUAUAUCUAUAUGUUCUGUAACACUGCCAGACAGACUGGUGUUCGUGCUGUAAGGACCCACUGACUAUCCUAUCAAGCGACAAGAAGCGAUGGGCUGAAAGGAACCAGAAACAAAUAUUAUAUGAAUUACAAGCACUUAGCUUAGCGAUGGAAAAUCGUUGCUUUGGAAUCACAAAACACUUUCUUGUCAUCUUCAUGAUUUUUAAAUCUCCUUUUGGUCCAUCAUGUCAGUUCCACAGCAUAAACACGUGGAUAACCUGAAGUCACUGUAGUUGACUGAAAAGAUUCAAUGUUAAUCAUAAAUCUUUGGGGGCAUUCUUGGCAAGGGACUGUGCACUCAAGCACACAGUGAAGAAUAAAAGUGUACCAUCGAGCUCCUUAUCUCAAUAAGUAAUUGGCAAGGGGAGACAGGCCAUCAUUUGUAAUAAUGCUGAUGAUGAUCCUGUUGUCGAGGAAAACAUGCAUGGAAUGAACUACGUGUCGAUAUGAGGCAAAUUAGCUUCAAGGGAAUGGAGAGAGACUGGAAAGCAUCGCAGAAAUUAAUCAAACAUUGCUUUGUUCCCUAGUAGAGACUGUUUUUACCUCAUCAUUUACACAGAAGACAAUGGUAUUUUUACAUGUGAACCUUGGCAUGUAAAGGAGGAACACCUGGAGCAGGUUAAAGCUGAGAGACCAUCAAAUCUGCCAUGAAUUGAAAGCUACGUGUCAAUUUUUGAGUUGUAACUCUGAUGUUUAUGAUCUAAUAUGUUGGGAAGAUGAUCAACAUUUUUGAUAUACGGAUUGAAGGGGUCUUGCUCCCUC